This 253-nucleotide ribosomal RNA is filed under the name uncultured bacterium. Its description in RNAcentral is "partial 16S ribosomal RNA". It matches the Rfam family "Bacterial small subunit ribosomal RNA", at positions 524 to 776 of the family's 1533-position model. The record is from RNAcentral.
UACGUAGGGUGCAAGCGUUAAUCGGAAUUACUGGGCGUAAAGCGUGCGCAGGCGGUUAUGUAAGCCAGAUGUGAAAGCCCCGGGCUCAACCUGGGAACUGCAUUGGAAACUGGCGAGCUUGAGUGCGGCAGAGGGGGGUGGAAUUCCGCGUGUAGCAGUGAAAUGCGUAGAGAUGCGGAGGAACACCGAUGGCGAAGGCAGCCCCCUGGGCCGACACUGACGCUCAGGCACGAAAGCGUGGGGAGCAAACAGG